AGCACCAUAAGCGCAGAGGAAGCGCGCAAGGCUCAUAACCUUGAGGUCCCUAGAUCGAAACUAGGUGGUGCUA
This 73-nucleotide transfer RNA is filed under the name Zancudomyces culisetae. It matches the Rfam family "tRNA". Rfam says of the family: Transfer RNA (tRNA) molecules are approximately 80 nucleotides in length. Lineage: Eukaryota; Fungi; Kickxellomycota; Harpellomycetes; Harpellales; Legeriomycetaceae. The record is from Rfam by way of RNAcentral.